Molecule: ribosomal RNA, 436 nt
Filed under: uncultured bacterium
Lineage: Bacteria
Description: bacterial SSU rRNA
Rfam family: Bacterial small subunit ribosomal RNA
Source: RNAcentral
AUGGGAACGCGAAGAACCUUACCUAGACUUGACAUCUCCUGAAUAGUGUAGAGAUACAUGAAGCCCUUCGGGGCAGGAAGACAGGUGGUGCAUGGUUGUCGUCAGCUCGUGUCGUGAGAUGUUGGGUUAAGUCCCGCAACGAGCGCAACCCUUAUUACUAGUUGCUACCAUUAAGUUGAGCACUCUAGUGAGACUGCCCGGGUUGACCGGGAGGAAGGCGGGGAUGACGUCAAAUCAUCAUGCCCCUUAUGUCUAGGGCAACACACGUGCUACAAUGGUGAGUACAGAUAGAUGCGAUACCGCAAGGUGGAGCCAAACUCUAAAACUCAUCCCAGUUCGGAUUGUAGGCUGCAACUCGCCUACAUGAAGUUGGAGUUGCUAGUAAUCGCGAAUCAGAAUGUCGCGGUGAAUACGUUCCCGGGUCUUGUACACACCG